Molecule: long non-coding RNA, 2483 nt
Organism: Peromyscus californicus insignis
Lineage: Eukaryota; Metazoa; Chordata; Mammalia; Rodentia; Cricetidae
Exons: 3
Source: RefSeq, a predicted model, not a curated record
GCACAAGGAAGUCUAGUCAGCCCCACUUUGGUCUGGUGGUAGUGAGGGGAGCUGAGCAAUGUCGUGUUGACAGAGGCAUGGGAUGGAUCCGGUAGGGCAAUGCUACUCUUUGGGCUGUGCCUAAAAGCCAGCACAUGGAAAUGCUCAUAAAGAUGUCGGUAGACAUUAAAUGCUGGGAGAUGGCCUGAUUCAAAACGGAUUGGAGAGGCAACGAUCUAGAGGUGGAACCAAAGGCCUGGCCUGGAUGAGAAAGAUGCAAGAGAUGAGAGUGACACAAAGCCACGGCUCAGCCAGACCACUCUCUGCGUUCACAUCUGCACAGCAUCUGGAGUCCAGCUGUGGUGGAAGUGGAAGGGGUUGUCCUUAAGUCUAACAGACUAAGGUUUGGAACUGGUCUCCCAACUCAGUGGCCUUGAAGACAUGCCUGUCCUGAGGCUUCCUGCCCACAUGUAUAAAUGGUGAAAAGCCACAGUCCUGAGAACUCCCCCACUGCAACAUUCAGUGAGGGGCCUCCAGUAGAGUGGUUGGAAAGGGGCUCCCCUGGUCAGCACCAGCAAGUGCAGGUCAUUAUCGGGGCUAUGUGAUACUUUUGUCUAAUACCACCCCUUCCUUAGUCCCUCCCCUUCCUGUCUCCCUCCUGUACCCGGCACUCCAAACCACCUCUUCUUAAGUCGGCCUGCCCAGGAGUGAACAAGGUAAUGGUAACUUAGGUUAGAGAGAAACCUGACAUUGACUGUGUGGGCUGGUGGGGCAGCCCCAAACUAUGACUAGGCUAUCAGGCACUUGGGUUUCUGGUCUGCCAUCUGGAACUUGACUUUCUUUAGAUGACUCCACAGACCAAAAUGGUUGCUGAGACGCCAGCCAGCAAAUCUAUAUUGUUCAUCUUGACAAUGGUGAGGUUCUGUAGUCUCUCCAUUAGGAGAGAGGUUCUGUAGUCUCUCCAUUAGGAGAGAAGGAAGAAGCAAAGGAGGACAAGAAAAGGGAAAAAUGUGUAACAUCACUCCUGUCCUCACUGCUAUGGAGCUUUGCUAAAGCCGCUACUUGGUAAAUUAAAUUUCUCCAUGAACUGAAGCAGGUCUCUCCUUCUCUCCUGGCUGCUAGACGUAGACUUGUCUCUGGGCAGGUCACCAGAAAUACAGCAGGGCUUUUCGGUAAGCAGGACAAAGAAAAGGCGUAUCUGUUCCUAGCCAGCAGUAUCGGCCAUGGCCUGGGACACAGGGUAGCCAUCAGUGCCCUUCCGUGGGAUCUGAUGUAGGACACUGUGAAAGAGGUAAUCCAUGUUCCCUGUGGGCCACAGGUGGAGGGACACAGCCCCACCACACAGAAGACAGCAGCACCAGCUGAGGGAGGCAAAGGGUGAGCCCAGGAGGGAAGCUGCCCAGGGCUCUGGCUAGGGAGAACCCUAGUCACCUCUGACCCAAGCACAUUUACAUAGCGGCUCGUUUGUGCUGACUCAGCAUCCGUGAUGACAACUGCUUGUUGUAAUGAAUAGGCUAAGGUUAUAACUGAUGAUCGUGACACUCAGGAGACAUUAGGGGCCCUUUCCUGCUCUCUGCGGCCGCUUCCUCCAUGCUGCCUCCUCGGAGGGUCUCAAAAGCACGAUCUUUGCCUGAAGUCUUCCCGCCCCCCUCCAUCAAUGCCUCUUUUAUUCUCUCCCUCCAAGAAACCCUGUUCAGUCCUGAAGCCCUGACAUCCCAGUUCCCUCUUCUAUACAAAGUCCCUCAACUCUUAGGCAGCCCUCUGAUCCUUGGUGACUUAAUGAGCUCUCUCCUUUACUGUAAUCCUCUCUAGCCCGCCCCUGCCACACCAGACCUGAGGACCCAGAGGGAAAAUCCCGUCCCACCCACACUGACUCCCACAGGUGACCUUUCGUUUGUAGCUGGAUGACUGAAUGAAAGCGGUGGAGUGAGCUUUGGUUUCUAUGCAAACUACAUCCAAACAGGACUCUCUGAGCAGGGCUGCUGGUGUGAACCCAGGGCUGCCUCCACCAUCUCUGGGUGGCAGCUCUCCCCUCCAGGGAUCAUUCACGAUGCCUGGCACACAUUUUGGGCUGUUGGCUCAGGGAGGGUAGUCACCUGUGCGUCCUCACCUCUGACACAUUCUUUUCCUUCUUUCUGUGGCAGCUCUUUGGUGCAGGGUGCGACAUACUGAACUGACAGCUUGUUUGUUUUCCAGGUGGGGCAAGAAUUCUGCGCUGCUUUGCGGUGAAUGUUGUUCAGAAGUCCAUGCAAUCAUUACCAUAAGGGAGGGAAGUCAGGGCCUUGCUAAAAGUCAACUAGGCUAGUGUCAGAGCAGCCAAAGCCCUGUGGAAGGCAGAAAGAGAUGGAGGGAGCUGGCCAGAAGGCUCAGUGGUAAAGGCCCUUGCUGCUAAAUGUGAUGAGUUCCAUCCUCAGGACCCACAGGGUGAAGGGGAGAACUGACUCCUGAAAGUUGUCCUCUGACCUCUACAUGAACCAUAGCAAGCACCACCACCACCACCACCA